RNAcentral lists this ribosomal RNA (235 nucleotides) under uncultured bacterium. RNAcentral's name for it is "partial 16S ribosomal RNA". It matches the Rfam family "Bacterial small subunit ribosomal RNA", at positions 118 to 351 of the family's 1533-position model. The record is from RNAcentral.
UGAGGAACAUGACCUUCGGCGGGGGAUAGCCGGCCCAACGGCCGGGUAAUACCGCGUACGACCUUUCGGGGACAUCCCUGAAUGGUGAAAGCAGCAAUGCGCCGAUGGAGUGCCUCGCGGCCUAUCAGCUAGUUGGUGAGGUAACGGCUCACCAAGGCAACGACGGGUAGCUGGUCUGAGAGGAUGGCCAGCCACAUUGGGACUGANACACGGCCCAGACUCCUACGGGGAGCAG